RNAcentral lists this non-coding RNA (121 nucleotides) under Desulforamulus aeronauticus. Its description in RNAcentral is "Desulfotomaculum aeronauticum MoCo sequence". It matches the Rfam family "Molybdenum/Tungsten riboswitch aptamer (Moco RNA motif)". Lineage: Bacteria; Bacillati; Bacillota; Clostridia; Eubacteriales; Peptococcaceae. The record is from RNAcentral.
UAGCAUAGGUUACUCCGAGCUUACGAACCUUCGCUAGUUAUUAGCAUGGUUCAUAAGCCUUAGGGUUGGUUUGGAAACGGACCAGCCUCCCGGUGCGGAAAGGAGAACUGACGGUUACUUU